This 1466-nucleotide ribosomal RNA is filed under the name uncultured organism. RNAcentral describes it as "16S ribosomal RNA". It matches the Rfam family "Bacterial small subunit ribosomal RNA". The record is from RNAcentral.
GCGGCGUGCCUAAUACAUGCAAGUCGUACGCUUCUUUUUCCUCCGGAGCUUGCUCCACCGGAAAAAGAAGAGUGGCGAACGGGUGAGUAACACGUGGGUAACCUACCCAUCAGAAGGGGAUAACACUUGGAAACAGGUGCUAAUACCGUAUAACAAUCGAAACCGCAUGGUUUUGAUUUGAAAGGCGCUUUCGGGUGUCGCUGAUGGAUGGACCCGCGGUGCAUUAGCUAGUUGGUGAGGUAACGGCUCACCAAGGCUACGAUGCAUAGCCGACCUGAGAGGGUGAUCGGCCACAUUGGGACUGAGACACGGCCCAAACUCCUACGGGAGGCAGCAGUAGGGAAUCUUCGGCAAUGGACGAAAGUCUGACCGAGCAACGCCGCGUGAGUGAAGAAGGUUUUCGGAUCGUAAAACUCUGUUGUUAGAGAAGAACAAGGAUGAGAGUAACCGUUCAUCCCUUGACGGUAUCUAACCAGAAAGCCACGGCUAACUACGUGCCAGCAGCCGCGGUAAUACGUAGGUGGCAAGCGUUGUCCGGAUUUAUUGGGCGUAAAGCGAGCGCAGGCGGUUUCUUAAGUCUGAUGUGAAAGCCCCCGGCUCAACCGGGGAGGGUCAUUGGAAACUGGGAGACUUGAGUGCAGAAGAGGAGAGUGGAAUUCCAUGUGUAGCGGUGAAAUGCGUAGAUAUAUGGAGGAACACCAGUGGCGAAGGCGGCUCUCUGGUCUGUAACUGACGCUGAGGCUCGAAAGCGUGGGGAGCAAACAGGAUUAGAUACCCUGGUAGUCCACGCCGUAAACGAUGAGUGCUAAGUGUUGGAGGGUUUCCGCCCUUCAGUGCUGCAGCUAACGCAUUAAGCACUCCGCCUGGGGAGCACGACCGCAAGGUUGAAACUCAAAGGAAUUGACGGGGGCCCGCACAAGCGGUGGAGCAUGUGGUUUAAUUCGAAGCAACGCGAAGAACCUUACCAGGUCUUGACAUCCUUUGACCACUCUAGAGAUAGAGCUUCCCCUUCGGGGGCAAAGUGACAGGUGGUGCAUGGUUGUCGUCAGCUCGUGUCGUGAGAUGUUGGGUUAAGUCCCGCAACGAGCGCAACCCUUAUUGUUAGUUGCCAUCAUUCAGUUGGGCACUCUAGCAAGACUGCCGGUGACAAACCGGAGGAAGGUGGGGAUGACGUCAAAUCAUCAUGCCCCUUAUGACCUGGGCUACACACGUGCUACAAUGGGAAGUACAACGAGUCGCGAAGUCGCGAGGCUAAGCUAAUCUCUUAAAGCUUCUCUCAGUUCGGAUUGUAGGCUGCAACUCGCCUACAUGAAGCCGGAAUCGCUAGUAAUCGCGGAUCAGCACGCCGCGGUGAAUACGUUCCCGGGCCUUGUACACACCGCCCGUCACACCACGAGAGUUUGUAACACCCGAAGUCGGUGAGGUAACCUUUAGGAGCCAGCCGCCUAAGGUGGGAUAGAUGAUUG